UACGGAGACUGCAAGCGUUACUCGGAUUUACUGGGCGUAAAGAGUGCGAAGGUGGAAAAGCGUGUCAAAUGUAAAAUCCUAAGGCUCAACCUUAUGGCAGCAUUUGAAACUACUUUUCUAGAGGUCUGGGGAAGUAAGUGGAAUUUUUAGUGUAGCGGUGAAAUGCGUAGAUAUUAAAAAGAACACCAAAGGCGAAGGCAACUUACUAAACGGAACCUGACACUAAUGCACGAAAGCGUGGGGAGCGAAAGGG
RNAcentral lists this ribosomal RNA (253 nucleotides) under uncultured bacterium. RNAcentral's name for it is "partial 16S ribosomal RNA". It matches the Rfam family "Bacterial small subunit ribosomal RNA", at positions 524 to 776 of the family's 1533-position model. The record is from RNAcentral.